GAUGAACGCUGGCGGCGUGCUUAACACAUGCAAGUCGAACGGAAAGGCCCAAGCUUGCUUGGGUACUCGAGUGGCGAACGGGUGAGUAACACGUGGGUGAUCUGCCCUGCACUUCGGGAUAAGCCUGGGAAACUGGGUCUAAUACCGGAUAGGACCACAUUUUGGAUGGUGUGGUGGAAAGUUUUUCGGUGUGGGAUGAGCUCGCGGCCUAUCAGCUUGUUGGUGGGGUAAUGGUCUACCAAGGCGUCGACGGGUAGCCGGCCUGUGAGGGUGUACGGCCACAUUGGGACUGAGAGACGGGCCAGACUCCUACGGGAGGCAGCAGAGGGGAAUAUUGCACAAUGGGCGCGGACCUGAUGCAGCGACGCCGCGUGGGGGAUGACGGCGUUCGGGUUGUAAACUCCUUUCGCUAGGGACGAGGCGUUUUUGUGACGGUACCUGGAGAAGAAGCACCGGCUAACUACGUG
This 467-nucleotide ribosomal RNA is filed under the name uncultured bacterium. Its description in RNAcentral is "partial 16S ribosomal RNA". It matches the Rfam family "Bacterial small subunit ribosomal RNA", at positions 28 to 507 of the family's 1533-position model. The record is from RNAcentral.